This 253-nucleotide ribosomal RNA is filed under the name uncultured bacterium. RNAcentral describes it as "partial 16S ribosomal RNA". It matches the Rfam family "Bacterial small subunit ribosomal RNA", at positions 524 to 776 of the family's 1533-position model. The record is from RNAcentral.
UACGUAGGGGGCAAGCGUUGUCCGGAAUCAUUGGGCGUAAAGAGCGUGUAGGCGGCUCGGUAAGUCCGCUGUGAAAGUCCAGGGCUCAACCCCGGAAUGCCGGUGGAAACUGUCGAGCUAGAGUCCGGAAGAGGCGAGUGGAAUUCCUGGUGUAGCGGUGAAAUGCGCAGAUAUCAGGAGGAACACCAAUGGCGAAGGCAGCUCGCUGGGACGGUACUGACGCUGAGACGCGAAAGCGUGGGGAGCAAACAGG